Molecule: ribosomal RNA, 497 nt
Filed under: uncultured bacterium
Lineage: Bacteria
Description: partial 16S ribosomal RNA
Rfam family: Bacterial small subunit ribosomal RNA
Source: RNAcentral
GAUGAACGCUGGCGGCGUGCCUAAUACAUGCAGGUCGAGCGAACAGACGAGGAGCUUGCUCCUCUGACGUUAGCGGCGGACGGGGGAGUAACACGUGGAUAACCUACCUAUAAGACUGGGAUAACUUCGGGAAACCGGAGCUAAUACCGGAUAAUAUAUUGAACCGCAUGGUUCAAUAGUGAAAGACGGUUUUGCUGUCACUUAUAGAUGGAUCCGCGCCGCAUUAGCUAGUUGGUAAGGUAACGGCUUACCAAGGCAACGAUGCGUAGCCGACCUGAGAGGGUGAUCGGCCACACUGGGACUGAGACACGGUCCAGACUCCUACGGGAGGCAGCAGUAGGGAAUCUUCCGCAAUGGGCGAAAGCCUGACGGAGCAACGCCGCGUGAGUGAUGAAGGAUUUCGGAUCGUAAAGCUCUGUUAUUAGGGAAGAACGAAUAUGUAAGUAACUAUGCAGUAAUUGACGGUACCUAACCAGAAAGCCACGGCUAACUACGUG